RNAcentral lists this transfer RNA (73 nucleotides) under Chlamydiales bacterium. RNAcentral describes it as "tRNA-Trp". It matches the Rfam family "tRNA". From Rfam's summary of the family: Transfer RNA (tRNA) molecules are approximately 80 nucleotides in length. The record is from RNAcentral. Lineage: Bacteria; Pseudomonadati; Chlamydiota; Chlamydiia; Chlamydiales.
GGGUGUGUAGCUCAGCUGGUAGAGCAGCGGCCUCCAAAGCCGAAGGUCGGGGGUUCGAUCCCCUCCGCACUCG